Molecule: long non-coding RNA, 2779 nt
Organism: Procambarus clarkii (red swamp crayfish)
Lineage: Eukaryota; Metazoa; Arthropoda; Malacostraca; Decapoda; Cambaridae
Source: RefSeq, a predicted model, not a curated record
ACAGGAAGCAUGAUCUCCACUGCUUGAGGGAUCAGGAAGCCUGAAUCGGUUGGACUGAAGCUCUGUACUCAAACAAGAACUCAUCACCAUAUAUUUUAGCUGAAGACAAACAAAAUUGGUUUCCACUAGAGAUAGUUUAACAGGUCAGAGAUGCCACAAGGGAACAAACAGGUGACCCAUCUUCAGUACACACACCACCGGGGAGAAGGAGGGUGGAGGCCUGAUAACAGAGACUGCGACUAUGCUUCUGUGUGCUCCCAGGGAGACUUAGACCAACACGACCAAGCAGAAGGUUACACAAGCUUGUCCUUCGCAUAAUGGUGAUGCGCUGUCAUGAUGGACCGGCCCGCUUAUGCGUCUUGCGCAAGUCUUGUCUAGUCUCCACAGUUCUACAGUUUAAGUCUCGUGGGAGACACCGGCGGGAAUUAAAAUAAAAUCAAAUCAAAUGUUUAUUCAGGUAAAGUAUAUACAUACAAGGUGAGAUACAAAACAUUGAUGGCUUUAUAGAUAGAGCUAGUACAUACAUUGAUGGCUUUAUAGUUAGAGCUAGUAUAUACAAUGUCUAAAGCCACUAUUACGCAAAGCGUUUCGAGCAGCGGUAAUUUGUCGCCGCUGUGGCCAGGAGGUUUGUCGAUUUGCCGUUUUCUAUUCGUUGGUCCUCGGGUAGGUUAGGUUGGGCCAAUUUAGUACAUCAUUUUAGUGACGUCGUGAACGUUUGAGAAGACUGGUUGCUUAGGCUGUAUUCUGCUUCUCUGUUUAUAUAGAGUGAGAUUAUAUACAUUGCCUGUAUAUACUCUAAGUUAGUGCUGGACCAUGUUAAGGAUUAGAGUAAAUUGGUUGGACAGUGAGCAGUUGUGGUAGCCUUAAUGGCACUCAGGGAGUUGAUAGGUGUUUAGUUCAACACAAAGGAAUGGCUGCGAUUUAUCAAUGUCCUCUCGGCCACUUCUCUGAUAUUCCCACCAAGACUGAUGCGAGGACAUGAGCGUCAGACGGCUGGCAGCCUACACACCCAGAGACAAUUAACCUAACAAGACCCGACCAUGGACAGGCUACAUCAGAAAAGGACGGCACAAAUCAAGCAAUCACACAUUAAGGGGCUCAAACAACUAAAUUGCAAGGGAGGAGGCGAGGCAGAGCUAAGGGUAUGUUGCAUGCGGGUGUCGGGUGUUGCUCCUCUGUCCCUUCUCGUCUUGUUGUAACAUCCACGGCACUCCCUUGUGCAACACCAUCCACAUGUAUCAGGUUGGUGUUGCUCCCGCAUUCCCAUAACAAUCACUAGUCGCAACUACAAUCACUAUGUAGUCGCAACACCCUACUUCAGUCCCUACACUGCCUUACGCAACACCCUACUUCAGUCCCUACACUGCCUUACACAACACCCUACUCCAGCCGCUACACUGCCUUACGCAACACCCUACUCCAGUCGCUACACUGCCUUACGCAACACUCUACUCCAGUCGCUACUCUUCUGUACUGGGGAAUAAAUUUCAUAAUUAUCCUAUUAUGGCAAGCCUUUUUGCUGAGUCCCAUGAUAACGCCCUUUUACCCUGGUGCAGCAGAGAUGUGACACAUAAGGUCUGCAGAAUGUAUGAUGUGCAAAACUACACAUAUUAGACCUAUAUUGGCACUAUAUGUUGCGAUAAUUCUGAUUGGCAGGUGGCAUUGUUUAUGUGGGGAAUGAUGCUCAUAUUGUAGCCCCAAUUUCCACUCAUUCGUUUUAACUAAUAUAUAGUUGUUUCUGUUAUUUGUUUAGUGACUGAAACAAUUACUUCAGUAACUGUUAUAUACACCAAGCCCUGUACCCCUGUUCUGGGUGUAUAUACACUGACAGUAUACUUUAGUCGUGGACUCUGAACAGGACUAAAAUAUGGCCUUAGUAAGUCUCGCGGCUGAUGGACCUCAAGCCUAAUACUGUACCAAAUUUUCAGUAAUAUUAAUAGGUCGUUGGUUUUUCUCGUCAAUAACUCAAAUGCUGAAGCAGUAUUUACCUACGGUUUUAACAUAAAUAUGUCCCAAUUUGGUUUCCUGUGGUCAGCGACAGGUAACCUGUGAUAUCGAGGAAUAUCACAGGUUAUAGGGAUAUCGAGGUUUCCCUUGCUAAAGGACUGGCGUUCCUCAGGAUGCAACCUACAACAGUUGCCUAACUCCCCAGUACCUAUUGUACAGCUAGACAAACCGAGGGAUCUGGUAUACGGACAGUGCCUGGGUUAAAGAGCAACUACGCAGUGGCAGAGGCUACCAGAGUGUCAAGUCAUCAGUGAGGGUGUGGGAGCAGCUGGUAUUAUUGGGCAAGUGUGGUUCAUGCGGGCUGCUGCUGCUAGGUCCUAGCUCCUAGCUCUCUCCCUCAUUGGUCAACUCGGGCAGUGGGACAUGUGUGAUGCUGGUGUGAUAAUCAACCUCACUUGUCGCGGUUUACACAACAAUUGUUUUUAAAUUAGAGCGCUAGGGUAUUUUAUUGAAAUAUAUUCAAUUUUCGGGAUAUACAUGCAUUAGAUCAGCCAUCUUCCUCAAUACUUUGUAGCUGGUUUAUAUAUAUACUAAUUUAGCAUAAUAUAUCCAGUGAAAUAUAUCCCCACAAGGAAGCAAAUUACAGUUCCACUAUAUUUUACGUCAGUCACUCACCUCACAAACUUUCCACCCAGAGGAGUCAUCAGUCUCCAUCACAGAUGUACUCAACUCACCUCCCCCAGUGAUACUGCCUCCUGGUUCUUAACUAAGAAUAUUAUACUCUAUCUUUCUGGUGAAGAUCACAGUCAGAGCUGAAGUGAAUACAAUAUGA